CGCGUAGGCGGUCUUUUAAGUCAGGUGUGAAAGCCCGGGGCUCAACCCCGGAAGUGCACUUGAAACUAAGAGACUUGAGUAUGGGAGAGGGAAGUGGAAUUCCUGGUGUAGCGGUGAAAUGCGUAGAUAUCAGGAGGAACAUCAGUGGCGAAGGCGACUUCCUGGACCAAUACUGACGCUGAGGCGCGAAAGCGUGGGGGAGCGAAGA
RNAcentral lists this ribosomal RNA (208 nucleotides) under uncultured bacterium. RNAcentral's name for it is "partial 16S ribosomal RNA". It matches the Rfam family "Bacterial small subunit ribosomal RNA", at positions 568 to 774 of the family's 1533-position model. The record is from RNAcentral.